UUAAGUGAGAAAGCGUACAGGGCGGAUGCCUUGGCAAUCAGAGGCGAUGAAGGACGUGCUAAUCUGCGAAAAGCGUGGGUGAGUUGAUAAGAAGCGUUUAACCCACGAUGUCCGAAUGGGGAAACCCGAUAGGUGAAGAACCUAUCAUUGUUUACUGAAUAAAAUAGGUAAACAAGGCGAACCGGGAGAACUGAAACAUCUAAGUACCCCGAGGAAAAGAAAUCAACCGAGAUUCUGUGAGUAGCGGCGAGCGAAAGCGGAGUAGCCAGUAAGUGAUAGCAUGUGAUUUAGGAGAAUUAGCUGGGAAGCUAAGCGACACAGGGUGAUAGCCCCGUAUCUGAAAGAUUGCGUGUGGUACUAAGUUUACGAGAAGUAGGGCGGGACACGAGGAAUCCUGUUUGAAGAUGGGGGGACCAUCCUCCAAGGCUAAAUACUCCUGAUUGACCGAUAGUGAACCAGUACUGUGAAGGAAAGGCGAAAAGAACCCCGGUGAGGGGAGUGAAAUAGAACCUGAAACCCUGUACGUACAAGCAGUGGGAGCCACACCACUAAAGCGUAUUGAAAACGUGGAAAAAAAACACCGCACUUUAUGAGUGUUAACAUUUUACGAAGUAAAAUGUUUAUCCCUAAAAUAAGCAGUGGGUUUUAGAUAGCGUUAAGAUGGGUGAUUUGCAAAGCAAAUCACAAAGCCUAAAGCAGUAUGCUUUAGGGUGUGGUGACUGCGUACCUUUUGUAUAAUGGGUCAGCGACUUAUAUUUUGUAGCGAGGUUAACUGAAUAAGGGAGCCGAAGGGAAACCGAGUCUUAACUGGGCGUUGAGUUGCAAGGUAUAGACCCGAAACCCGGUGAUCUAGCCAUGGGCAGGUUGAAGGUUGGGUAACACUAACUGGAGGACCGAACCGACUAAUGUUGAAAAAUUAGCGGAUGACUUGUGGCUGGGGGUGAAAGGCCAAUCAAACCGGGAGAUAGCUGGUUCUCCCCGAAAUCUAUUUAGGUAGAGCCUUGAGCGGACACCUUUGGGGGUAGAGCACUGUUUCGGCUAGGGGCCCAUCCCGGGUUACCAAACCGAUGCAAACUCCGAAUACCGAAGAGUGAUACUCAGGAGACACACGGCGGGUGCUAACGUCCGUCGUGGAGAGGGAAACAACCCAGACCGCCAGCUAAGGUCCCAAAAUCUAUAUUAAGUGGGAAACGAAGUGGGAAGGCUUAGACAGCUAGGAUGUUGGCUUAGAAGCAGCCACCAUUUAAAGAAAGCGUAAUAGCUCACUAGUCGAGUCGGCCUGCGCGGAAGAUGUAACGGGGCUAAAAUAUAGUACCGAAGCUGCGGCAUCAGGCGUAUCACUAAUACGCCUUAACGAUUAACCACUUGCGAAGCAAGUGAGUAAAGCGAAAAACACGUUGAGUGUAGAGAGAAAAUCGAAGAGGGAUAUUAGUGAUACGUCUGUUGGGUAGGGGAGCGUUGUGUAAGUCGAUGAAGAUGGAUUGAGAAGUCUGUUGGAGAUAUCACAAGUGCGAAUGCUGACAUAAGUAACGAUAAAACGGGUGAAAAACCCGUUCGCCGGAAGACCAAGGGUUCCUGUCCAACGUUAAUCGGGGCAGGGUGAGUCGGCCCCUAAGGCGAGGCUGAAAAGCGUAGUCGAUGGGAAACGGGUUAAUAUUCCCGUACUUGGUAAAGCUGCGAUGUGGGGACGGAGAAGGUUAGGUUAUCGACCUGUUGGAAAUGGUCGUUUAAGUUGGUAGGUGGGUGAGUUAGGCAAAUCCGGCUCACCGUUAACACUGAGAGAUGAUGACGAGGCACUAAGGUGCUGAAGUAACUGAUACCACACUUCCAGGAAAAGCCACUAAGCUUCAGGCUUUACUAAACCGUACUGAAAACCGACACAGGUGGUCAGGUAGAGAAUACUCAGGCGCUUGAGAGAACUCGGGUGAAGGAACUAGGCAAAAUAGCACCGUAACUUCGGGAGAAGGUGCGCUGGCGUAGUGUGAAGUUCUUUACGGAUGGAGCAUGAACCAGUCGAAGAUACCAGCUGGCUGCAACUGUUUAUUAAAAACACAGCACUCUGCAAACACGAAAGUGGACGUAUAGGGUGUGAUGCCUGCCCGGUGCUGGAAGGUUAAUUGAUGGUGUAAUCGAAAGAGAAGCUCCUGAUCGAAGCCCCAGUAAACGGCGGCCGUAACUAUAACGGUCCUAAGGUAGCGAAAUUCCUUGUCGGGUAAGUUCCGACCUGCACGAAUGGCAUAAUGAUGGCCAGGCUGUCUCCACCCGAGACUCAGUGAAAUUGAAAUCGCCGUGAAGAUGCGGUGUACCCGCGGCUAGACGGAAAGACCCCGUGAACCUUUACUAUAGCUUGACACUGAACCUUGAAUUUUGAUGUGUAGGAUAGGUGGGAGACUAUGAAGCGGUAACGCCAGUUAUCGUGGAGUCGUUGUUGAAAUACCACCCUUUAACGUUUGAUGUUCUAACGAAGCGCCUGAAACGGGUGUUCGGACAGUGUCUGGUGGGUAGUUUGACUGGGGCGGUCUCCUCCCAAAGCGUAACGGAGGAGCACGAAGGUUUGCUAAUGACGGUCGGACAUCGUCAGGUUAGUGCAAUGGUAUAAGCAAGCUUAACUGCGAGACAGACAAGUCGAGCAGGUGCGAAAGCAGGUCAUAGUGAUCCGGUGGUUCUGAAUGGAAGGGCCAUCGCUCAACGGAUAAAAGGUACUCCGGGGAUAACAGGCUGAUACCGCCCAAGAGUUCAUAUCGACGGCGGUGUUUGGCACCUCGAUGUCGGCUCAUCACAUCCUGGGGCUGAAGUAGGUCCCAAGGGUAUGGCUGUUCGCCAUUUAAAGUGGUACGCGAGCUGGGUUUAGAACGUCGUGAGACAGUUCGGUCCCUAUCUGCCGUGGGCGUUGGAGAAUUGAGAGGGGCUGCUCCUAGUACGAGAGGACCGGAGUGGACGCAUCACUGGUGUACCAGUUGUCUCGCCAGAGGCACAGCUGGGUAGCUAAAUGCGGAAGAGAUAAGUGCUGAAAGCAUCUAAGCACGAAACUUGCCUUGAGAUGAGUUCUCCCAGUCUAUAAGACUGUAAGGGUUGUUUGAGACUAAGACGUAGAUAGGCUGGGUGUGUAAGCGGUGUGAGCCGUUGAGCUAACCAGUACUAAUUGCCCGAGAGGCUUAACUAU
This 3163-nucleotide ribosomal RNA is filed under the name Avibacterium avium. RNAcentral's name for it is "bacterial LSU rRNA". It matches the Rfam family "Bacterial large subunit ribosomal RNA". The record is from RNAcentral. Lineage: Bacteria; Pseudomonadati; Pseudomonadota; Gammaproteobacteria; Pasteurellales; Pasteurellaceae.